UUCAAGGAUUUGGAACAACAUGAGGUGUCUAUGUGUUUAGAUUUGGAACCUCAGUGUUUUGUGACUCUUGAAAACCAGGUCAGCUCAUGCCUCCCGUGAACAACUUAUUAGGUGCUUUAAAGGUUUGUCUGCAAAGUCGAAGCAGACAUGGACAGAUGAAGAUAUUGCCCGCAGAAACACUCCUCCU
This is a long non-coding RNA of Sinocyclocheilus rhinocerous, 187 nucleotides long. RefSeq lists it as uncharacterized. The record is from RefSeq and is a predicted model, not a curated record. NCBI's taxonomy places the organism in Eukaryota, Metazoa, Chordata, Actinopteri, Cypriniformes, Cyprinidae. The transcript is spliced from 3 exons.